This 483-nucleotide ribosomal RNA is filed under the name uncultured bacterium. RNAcentral describes it as "bacterial SSU rRNA". It matches the Rfam family "Bacterial small subunit ribosomal RNA", at positions 30 to 507 of the family's 1533-position model. The record is from RNAcentral.
AUUGAACGCUGGCGGCAUGCCUUACACAUGCAAGUCGAACGGUAACGGGCCUUCGGGUGCCGACGAGUGGCGAACGGGUGAGUAAUGCAUCGGAACGUACCUUUCAGUGGGGGAUAACGUAGCGAAAGUUACGCUAAUACCGCAUAUUCUGUGAGCAGGAAAGCAGGGGAUCGCAAGACCUUGCGCUGAUUGAGCGGCCGAUGUCAGAUUAGCUAGUUGGUGAGGUAAAGGCCUACCAAGGCGACGAUCAGUAGCUGGUCUGAGAGGACGACCAGCCACACUGGGACUGAGACACGGCCCAGACUCCUACGGGAGGCAGCAGUGGGGAAUUUUGGACAAUGGGCGAAAGCCUGAUCCAGCCAUGCCGCGUGCAGGAAGAAGGCCUUCGGGUUGUAAACUGCUUUAGUCUAGGAAAAAGGGGUGCGAGGUUAAUACCCUCGUGCUUUGAUGGUACUGGAAGAAUAAGCACCGGCUAACUACGUG